RNAcentral lists this ribosomal RNA (998 nucleotides) under Prevotella sp. oral taxon 317. RNAcentral's name for it is "bacterial SSU rRNA". It matches the Rfam family "Bacterial small subunit ribosomal RNA", at positions 28 to 1021 of the family's 1533-position model. Lineage: Bacteria; Pseudomonadati; Bacteroidota; Bacteroidia; Bacteroidales; Prevotellaceae. The record is from RNAcentral.
GAUGAACGCUAGCUACAGGCUUAACACAUGCAAGUCGCGGGGCAGCAUGGGGGUUGCUUGCAACCCCUGAUGGCGACCGGCGCACGGGUGAGUAACGCGUAUCCAACCUGCCCUUCACCACGGGAUAACCCGGCGAAAGUCGGACUAAUACCGUAUGUUGUCCAUUGACGGCAUCCGAUUUGGACGAAAGGCUUAGCGGUGAGGGAUGGGGAUGCGUCCGAUUAGCUUGACGGCGGGGUAACGGCCCACCGUGGCGACGAUCGGUAGGGGUUCUGAGAGGAAGGUCCCCCACACUGGAACUGAGACACGGUCCAGACUCCUACGGGAGGCAGCAGUGAGGAAUAUUGGUCAAUGGGCGGAAGCCUGAACCAGCCAAGUAGCGUGCAGGAUGACGGCCCUAUGGGUUGUAAACUGCUUUUAUGCGGGGAUAAAGGGGCCCACGUGUGGGCUUUUGCAGGUACCGCAUGAAUAAGGACCGGCUAAUUCCGUGCCAGCAGCCGCGGUAAUACGGAAGGUCCGGGCGUUAUCCGGAUUUAUUGGGUUUAAAGGGAGCGUAGGCCGCCCCUUAAGCGUGUUGUGAAAUGCGGGUGCUCAACAUCCGACUUGCAGCGCGAACUGGGGGGCUUGAGUGCGCCGAAAGUAGGCGGAAUUCGUGGUGUAGCGGUGAAAUGCUUAGAUAUCACGAAGAACUCCGAUUGCGAAGGCAGCUUACUGUAGCGCAACUGACGCUGAUGCUCGAAAGCGUGGGUAUCGAACAGGAUUAGAUACCCUGGUAGUCCACGCGGUAAACGAUGGGUGCUCGUUGUCGGCCUGUAUGGUCGGUGACCAAGCGAAAGCGUUAAGCAUCCCACCUGGGGAGUACGCCGGCAACGGUGAAACUCAAAGGAAUGACGGGGGCCCGCACAAGCGGAAGAACAUGUGGUUUAAUUCGAUGAUACGCGAGGAACUACCCGGGCUUGAACUGCGGCGGAACGAUUCCGAGAGGAUGAGGCCCUCGG